AUGUCUGUCAUUCCUGCUGCACAUGGGAUUAAAAUAAGAUGGUGUAAUGUCAAGUUGGGCACGGAGCCCAGUUCUGCAGCAGUGAUGCGUCCCGUACUGACACUCGGUUACAGUUCCUCAUUCAACGUGUCCAAACCUCAUUUCAGCAUUAUUUCAUCACCUGCGUGUGUGUGUGAGCGUUUAACUGCGGAUGGUGACUACAGGUUUCUACCGAUGAAUCAGCACGAACACAAUUGGUCUCUCUCUUUCACGUUCUAUUCUCCCGUUCUGUCCAUCUGUCAUCAGGCUUUACCCACCCUCUGAGCUGUCACUCCAGAACAGGAUGCCCAUUUAGGUUGGACACAAUUAUACACUUAUAUGUGUGUGUGUAGCUCAUGCAUGCCGUAAGACAUCGAGCACGGACCUGGGCCAGUCAGAAAUGUGAUCCGCCCCAUUGGCCACCCCUCCCGCUCCAGGGCUGCCCGUCUGGGAGAAAGGAACAGUGGGAAUUCUGUGUGGCUUUGGGCAGCCGAAGCCUCUUCCCAACAAUUACCUUCAAUUAGGGGAGCACAGUGGCGCGCAGGCAGAAAAAGGGACCCCAUUAGGGGCCAGGCCGGGCGACUGGAGUCAGGCCAGUCCUACUGUCCCCCUCUGCUCACUUACACUGCCCCGGGGCUAGGGUUACACCACACACACCCUGUCUCUUCACCCCUACCUGAUUCUGUCUUCCUGGUCAACCUGAUUGUCGUCUUUUCCCUCUUAGGGAGUUCGCUAGGGAGAGAAAAAGAAAAUAUUUCAUAAGGACAACAAAUCUUGCAGGGUCAUAUCUUAUUUAUUUAUUUAUUUUCCAAAGAUUUGUUAAUGAUGCAAAAGUUUCAAUGCUUCUUGUUCCAAAAGUACUUUUUAUUUAAAUUAAGCCUUAAUAUAGUUUUAGUUUUCCAAAUUAUUGAUGCUCAGAUGUAAACAAGUCUCAAAUCCCAGUUGGUAGAGACCUAGUAUUAAUUCUACCAACAUUCUUUUUGCAAAAUAACGGUCAGAGUAUACAGAUAGAUAUAUUUGAUAUAUUUGAAGUUUAUCAAGUUUGAAAUUCAUUUUAUAAUAAGCUCAUUUUAUUCGUUUUAUAAUAAGGUUGUAUUAUUUUAGGAACUGUAUAGAAGUGUCAACCUGAAUAAGUCACUGAAAUGUUAAAUGUGUUUUUUUUUUACCUACUUAAAUUAAAUUGAAUGUGAAAGUUAUGAUAUCUAUACCAAAGAUAUAUAUCAAAGUAGAUACAUACAGUACCUGUUUAUAUCUAAUAUUUCUUCCAAUUGUUAUGCUGUAAUGAUGACAAAAAUGUAUGUUUUAUUAUUAAUUAAAUUAAUACCUAGUGAGCACAGCAAAAUCAGUCCUGAAAUGCAUUUGUAUAUGUUAAAGUAAGACUAAUGCAGUUAAGGACUUAGACCACUUUGCCCUAACAUUUGGAUUUUUUAAAUAUAUAACAGUGGCAGGUGUGACACACAGUCAAGAACAGUAUUUUGCAAUUUUCCUCCCUACAUCCUACACUUAUCAUUUUUAUCAUUACUUACUGUAAUAAUCUUCUUUGUCAUUUAGGGGUACUAGUAUCUGUGCUGCUUAUUACUUCACUGUGCCUGGCUUGGCCAAGUUCCUGAAAACUGAGUAGGCAUCUUUGAUUCGCCACCCACCUUAUCCAACUGUGUGUUUUACCAGGAAAGAGAAUCGAUCAAGACUGUCAUGCAUCCGUUUUAUUCUUUGUUUGUUAGUGCAUGAGUAAUUCAGAUGACUCUUACCUGUGCAUUUGUUCACCUAAGCUUUAUGAAAGAUUGCAUUGUGAAACAUCAACACUCUUUCAGGUCUAUGAGGUCAGUGAAAAUGAUGGCCAAUAAAUCAGACUGACACCUCACUCUCUUAGUUUCCAAAUCUCAUACUCUGAAAAGAGAAAAAGUAGCUUGUUCAUCUUACCUGACUUUCAUUAAAUGGACAUCUCAAGACAGUCCAUCUUCAGGAAACCGUCCUGCAGUGUCUUCGUUUUUUUCACAAAGUAACUGUUGGUUACUUUACAAAGCAGACACAUGUUUACCCCAACUCAUAUUUAUCAAAGAUGCCAACCAUUAAAAUACCUACAUGUCUAUUUGAUGGCUAAAGAAAUAAAAAUAUAAAUAAAAUAAUAAAUAUAAUAUAAAAGAACAUAAUUCUUUUUAUGAACAAAUGACAUAAUUUCCUGAGAAUGACUGCUUGUAUUCACUAUAGCCUCUGUUUGGUUUUUUCAAAUAUUAAUGAAAAUAGUCUAAAUAGAUGAGUCUGGCCACUGUGAAAAGAAAAAAAACAAAAAAAAACAAACAAAAACACUAUGGACACAUGGUUCAGUAACGUGAACAUUGUUUGAAAAUCCAUCAUUGAGGUCAGCUGUCUAGACCCUUGUGGGGAUUAAUUGUCAAUGACAGUAAAGUAGCCAGAAAAAAUAUUUAUCUGUUUUACAAUGUAUUACAAUGUGAUCUGUUUAGUUUCUAUGGUUAUCAACGGUAUCAUUUAUUAAAGCUGACAGUUUGUUGUUGUAACACUGUAUUUAUGAUUUAAUUUUGCUUUUAUUACUUUACGGCAGAGCUCACCUUUCACCCUGACACUCAGUUAAUACAGAU
Long non-coding RNA from Cyprinus carpio carpio, 2615 nucleotides. NCBI's taxonomy places the organism in Eukaryota, Metazoa, Chordata, Actinopteri, Cypriniformes, Cyprinidae. The record is from Ensembl.